RNAcentral lists this ribosomal RNA (397 nucleotides) under uncultured bacterium. Its description in RNAcentral is "partial 16S ribosomal RNA". It matches the Rfam family "Bacterial small subunit ribosomal RNA", at positions 360 to 773 of the family's 1533-position model. The record is from RNAcentral.
AAUAUUGCACAAUGGAGGGAACUCUGAUGCAGCAACGCCGCGUGAGUGAAGAAGGUUUUCGGAUCGUAAAACUCUGUCAUUGGGGAAGAAUAAAUGACGGUACCCAAUGAGGAAGCCCCGGCUAACUACGUGCCAGCAGCCGCGGUAAUACGUAGGGGGCGAGCGUUGUCCGGAAUUACUGGGCGUAAAGGGUGCGUAGGCGGCUAAUCAAGCCAGAGGUGAAAGGCUACGGCUUAACCGUAGUAAGCCUUUGGAACUGACUAGCUUGAGUGCAGGAGAGGAGAGUGGAAUUCCUAGUGUAGCGGUGAAAUGCGUAGAUAUUAGGAGGAACACCAGUGGCGAAGGCGACUACCUGGACUGAUACUGACACUGAGGUGCGAAAGCGUGGGGAGCAAAC